AUUGAACGCUGGCGGCAUGCCUUACACAUGCAAGUCGAACGGCAGCACGUGUGCUUGCACCUGGUGGCGAGUGGCGAACGGGUGAGUAAUACAUCGGAACGUACCUUAUCGUGGGGGAUAACAAAUUGAAAAAUUUGCUAAUACCGCAUAAUACUCUGAGGAUGAAAGCGGGGGAUCGCAAGACCUCGCGCGAUUGGAGCGGCCGAUAUCAGAUUAGGUAGUUGGUGGGGUAAAGGCCCACCAAGCCAACGAUCUGUAGCUGGUCUGAGAGGACGACCAGCCACACUGGAACUGAGACACGGUCCAGACUCCUACGGGAGGCAGCAGUGGGGAAUUUUGGACAAUGGGCGCAAGCCUGAUCCAGCCAUUCCGCGUGCAGGAUGAAGGCCCUCGGGUUGUAAACUGCUUUUGUACAGAACGAAAAGGUUUCUACUAAUACUAGGAGCUCAUGACGGUACUGUAAGAAUAAGCACCGGCUAACUACGUGCCAGCCGCCGCAGUAA
This 503-nucleotide ribosomal RNA is filed under the name uncultured bacterium. RNAcentral describes it as "partial 16S ribosomal RNA". It matches the Rfam family "Bacterial small subunit ribosomal RNA", at positions 30 to 523 of the family's 1533-position model. The record is from RNAcentral.